CAAUAGCGUAUAUUAAAGUUGUUGCAGUUAAAAAGCUCGUAGUCGAACUUCGGGCCUGGCCGGGCGGUCUGCCUAACGGUAUGUACUGUCUGGCCGGGCCUUACCUCUUGGUGAGCCGGCAUGCCCUUCACUGGGUGUGUCGGUGAACCAGGACUUUUACCUUGAGAAAAUUAGAGUGUUCAAAGCAGGCCUAUGCCCGAAUACAUUAGCAUGGAAUAAUAAAAUAGGACGUGUGGUUCUAUUUUGUUGGUUUCUAGAGUCACCGUAAUGAUUAAUAGGGAUAGUUGGGGGCAUUAGUAUUCAGUUGCUAGAGGUGAAAUUCUUGGAUUUACUGAAGACUAACUUCUGCGAAAGCAUUUGCCAAGGAUGUUUNCAUUG
Molecule: ribosomal RNA, 378 nt
Filed under: uncultured eukaryote
Lineage: Eukaryota
Description: partial 18S ribosomal RNA
Rfam family: Eukaryotic small subunit ribosomal RNA
Source: RNAcentral